ACGUAGGAGGCAAGCGUUGUUCGGAAUUAUUGGGCGUAAAGAGCACGUAGGCGGCCUUGCAAGUCAGUUGUGAAAGCCUUCCGCUUAACGGAAGAACGGCAUCUGAUACUACAGGGCUUGAGUGCGGGAGGGGAGAGUGGAACUUCUGGUGGAGCGGUGAAAUGCGUAGAUAUCAGAAGGAACAUCGGCGGCGAAUGCGACUCUCUGGCCCGUAACUGACGCUGAGGUGCGAAAGCUAGGGGAGCAAACGG
RNAcentral lists this ribosomal RNA (251 nucleotides) under uncultured prokaryote. Its description in RNAcentral is "partial 16S ribosomal RNA". It matches the Rfam family "Bacterial small subunit ribosomal RNA", at positions 525 to 775 of the family's 1533-position model. The record is from RNAcentral.